UACGGAGGGUGCGAGCGUUGUCCGGAAUCACUGGGCGUAAAGGGCGCGUAGGUGGCGCGGGCAGUCAACGGUGAAAGUUCGGGGCUCAACCCUGAAUCGGCCGUCGAUACUCCCGGGCUUGAGCACUGUAGAGGCUAAUGGAAUUCCGGGUGUAGCGGUGGAAUGCGUAGAGAUCCGGAAGAACACCGGUGGCGAAGGCGGCCCGCUGGGCAGUGGCUGACGCUGAGGCACGAAAGCGUGGGGAGCAAACAGG
This 253-nucleotide ribosomal RNA is filed under the name uncultured bacterium. Its description in RNAcentral is "partial 16S ribosomal RNA". It matches the Rfam family "Bacterial small subunit ribosomal RNA", at positions 524 to 776 of the family's 1533-position model. The record is from RNAcentral.